CCUGGAAAGAGGCAUUGACAUAGCAAGUGUGACCUUUCAUCAGAGUGACUGGCAGUCCAAAGCAGAAGAAAGCUUGUGGCUCUAUUGAGUUUAAAAUACACAGCACCAGGUACAGGCUUAGAUGUCCGUGCAAUGUUACAACCCUUAUUUGAUUUCAGUGGGAAUGCUACUGAAUGCUUGGGAUCAUUUUAUUAUAAAAACCUAUGCACAGGAGGUUAGCCUUAUCAGCAAGCUCCUGUCCUAAGAAAAUGCCUCAGAGCAUUUACAGCUGGAACUGAGCACAACUCUGGUAAGAUCCAGUCAUUUUUGCCAUAAGACUAAGUGACUAAGCUGCUAAAGCAGGAACACAAUUUGUUUUUCAGAUUGAUCCACCUCCUGUGUUUUGGACAGAAGGAUGGGUGCAUGGAAGACCAGUGAUCAUCCCCUCUUUAACUACGUGAAGCAUUUCACUCCUACAUCACUUGUGAAACAGGAUGGAUGGAAUCAGAGCAGGAAACCCUUUGGCUCAGGAAUCUCUUGUGUAAAUCCAGGCACCAAAAUGCAGCAUGAGCCACAGGCUACUCACAACAAAGACAAAGCAAAGACAGGUCAAACAGCUACAGACUCCACAGCCUAUCCAAGCUAGGUCUGCUCUUCCCAUAUGCCCAGCUGGGACCAUCCUAGACAGUGGGUGUAGCUGAGGGCUAAAACAAGGAGCACAGAAAGAGAACGUGAUUGCCUGGUGCAACCAUGCUGUUGGUGAGCUACAUCCUGGGAUCUCUUAGAAGACCUGCUUCCUCCUGCAGCGAAGGCGGUAUGGCACCUAGAGAUCCCCUGCAACCCGUGGGUUCUCUCUCGAUGCUCUCUUUUCUUUGGUCAGGCAAGAUUUAGUUGCUUAGUAACACAACGGCUUCCCAUUAAUGACGGCCAAAGCAUGCAGGGCCCAUGCACCGGAGGAAGACACUGGAGGCAUCACUGCAGGGUUCACACUCUGAAGUCCAGCAAAAUCUGUGACAUCCACAUGUGGCGUGCCGGGGUUGCUUAUCUAAUGCAAGGACCCCAUGCACUAGAAACCUGGGAAAGAAAUGUUGGUCUUUUUUUCCCAAUCACUUGCAUCAAGGGGCAUUGCCAUGACACAAAGCCAGCAUCUGUCUUCCUCUCAAUGCAAUGUACCUUGGUUCAGAUAUCUGGAAAUUAUGUUCCAGAUAUCUGGAACAGGUUUCUCUAGGCUGUAAGGCAAAUAGCUCCAUGCUCACAGUGCUCAGUAAUUAAGACCUAAGCUCACCAAAAUUCAGGGGCUUUUGCAGACAUAAGCAAAGGGAACCUGGGUGAAGCUGGAAGACUGAGGCAGAGGUAGUGGAGGGCGUCUUCACAUGCAGUAUCUAAAAAGGGAGUGCAGUCUCUGAAGCAGGGCAUCUUAGGAAAUACAGUGCUUUCAAAAUUGCUCUCAUAUCUGAUAAAACAUUCCCCAACAUAUCAGCAGUUUCUUAGUAAGGCAUUUCAUUAUUCAUGAAUACACUAUUUAUAGGCUAUUGCCAACACAAUUUUUAAACACCCCAUUAAACAACCAGGCUACGUAACUCACUCACCAAAGGACAUCAACAAGCUGUUAAGUUUCUUGUGUUACAUGGGGAGCCAGUCAUCAGUCCUCUGCUUAGAUUGUCCAAAUUAAUCACCAUUUAUCCCCUUCUGUGUGCAUUCCUUGGGAGAAUUCUGACAGCAAAUAUCAAAUGAACUUGAAAUAAAGUCAUAAAAGCCCACAUAGUCCUACUUGCACUGGUGAUGCCUGGGAACUAUCAACUAUCUGUAGAGGGAAGAGUGGAGCCAAGCUUCCCCCAGCUAGUCUUUCAGACCCAGCUCCUUGCUCUUUUAAGUGACACAUCAGACAAAUGCUAUUCCAACAUGGAGGGACAGACAGAAAGAAAACUUUGACUAUCCCCAACCACCUCCAGACCUGGCACCUGGUUCCAGCUCUGCUCCUCCCCCUUUUGUGGCACUUUUUUAUUAAAAAUUUAGCUCAUCACAUUCAGCCUCUCACAGUCCCAAGCAACAGACAACAGUGCUUCUGGCAGGAUCUCCUCCUUUACCCCAGUAGCCAUGGAAGAUCCCCAACGCUCCAUAACGAGCCUGAAAUCUUUAAUACAAAAGAUUAACAGCUUCCAAAGCUACAAAGGACUGAAGAAUUUGCAGCAUUGACAGUGAUCUAGGUCUCUAUAACAGUCUCAGCUAAAGUAGUUUGCUAACUAGGAAGGCAGGAGUCUGUGCUGAAAGACAGAGCUCAAGUUCAGCCUUGUUUGCAACACAUGACAGAGGCACUGUUAGAAACAUACAGGAGAGUAUUUGGGUUAUUAUAAACACAGGAAGUUUUGUUUAAAACCCUGUAUUAAAAGAAAAACACCUGCUAGGAGCAGUUACCAUUAUAAUCACAGCUUGCCCUCCCCUGUGAGCACGCAUGAUGAGACAGGUUUUAAUUACACUUGUCAUUUUCCCUAGGAACCUUGCCUUACUGAACAUAAGAUAUACACUUGUGCAGAAAGAUUAAGUUUGCUUGGCAACCUUGAAAUUACCAUUUCCUACUAUCUGAAUGUGAAUCUUCCAACUACAGCUAGCAUUAUUUUGAAAUUAUGGUUUGUAUUAUUUCUACCUAAUAACAAUUUAGGAAUUUUUCAGGCAUAAGGGGUCAGAUUCCAAUCUCAGUUAUUCACAUGUAACCUUAGAAUUCAUGAUCUUAAAGUCCUCAUAUAAAAAUAACUCUGUAGCUCUAGAAGGACUACAUGCUUGACACCAUUAAUAUUUUAUUCCUUUACACCCUUUCAGCAAGCAUACUUCAAAUUAGUUAUUUUAAAACAUGCCCUUGUUCACUAUACAAUGCUGCUGGCUCAGUGGAACCGUUGUGCUGGCUCUGAGCGAAAUGAGCGCCCCAGAGCCUCUGCUGUUUGCGGAGACGGAGGUGCCCACGCAGCUGAAGGCUGGGCAGCACAUCCUGCCGGGAGGAGCGUGGCAUUGGGGAUAUUUGGGAGAAGUCUCCCAAGAAAAGCUGAGGCAAUCAAAGGGUGAGACAGAUGGAUUCUCCUCUGUUUGGACAAGUAGCUGAGGCUGGGGAAGAAGUGAUGGGGCAACCUGCCACCUGAAAGACAAGUUGUGGCUGGUAUUGGGAAACCAUGUACCAACACGAGGGGAGGCUGUGGCUUGAGGACAGCCAGGUGCAUAAUCCAUGACUGGACUUGCCUCUACCUCGGGGAAGGGAACGUGGCUGUUUAGCUGGAUGACUAAAUUAUGUCAGAACAUCCAUCUCCUCUACACCUGUGUCCCAGGGAGGGCACGUGAGAUGUGGAUGUGCCUUCAUGUUGGAAAAAGAAAUACUUGCUGCAGGUGACAAGGUCCUUUUUGCUAAUGUAUAUGAUUUUCAUGGCUUUAAGCAAGGUUUUGCCAUUUUAUGACAAAUUCUAUUGGGUUUUUCUUCCUAAUUCUUUUCUUCUUCCACUGCUAAUUUACUCUGGGCUGAAAUGCAGUUUAGGAAACAUCUUAAAUACCAUGCUAAAACAGUGUUUGCAAGCUUUGACUUUUUAAACUGUACAUAAUUCAGGGCAUUUCCUAAAUUCCUGUGACUUCCAAGUUACUUACAGUCUCUAAAAAGUAGUCUAAGGUGCUGUAAAACCACUGUCCAUGCAUUUGUGGAAUUACAGUGAAAAUACCAUUUAAAAAUUAUCUGCAUCCAACCAAAUCUAAUAAAACUCUCCAAUCUGCAUCCAGCCAAAUCUAAUAAAACUCUCCAGGACUCAGGCAGACUAGGAGGAAGUUGUGGCCUUGCUCCCACCACAGUAUGUACACCCUUUAAACAGAUCUUUAAACAGAACUUGGUACUGGCACACAGAGUUCUCUGGAGGCUCAGGGCUGGCAAAUCUCUUCCUUGCGUUUCUCCACUAAGCAGCAUUGGGAGAUGCUGAUGGUUUGCACCUGUAUAACCCAAUGGUCACUGCGGGAUAGGACCUGGAGGACCGUCUAUUCUGCUUCUCAGCAGAGCCGAUGCCUGUGCUGGCUGCUGCAGGCACACAACCAUGCCAGCAAGUUUAAAGCUUGCUCCUCCGCCCCACACUAGGCUGCAUCCGCAGGGGCACAGCUACGCCUGUGAGCCAGCGCCCUGAUUUUCUUUAACACUUUGGAGCCAAUUGUCCGUAUCUAUAUUGCAAGUGGAGUUCAUUUCUGAAUGAACAUGUGUGCUUUUGACAGCAUCACCCUGAUGGAAAUGAGAAGCUUUCCUAUGAAAAAGGGCAUAACAAGAAGCAACGGACUGAAGAUAAGAUGGAGAAAAAUUAGCUGGCACAUGGGGAGAGCAUGGAGCAUGCUGGCAUGGAGGGAGAUGUCUUGCUCCUGAGGUGUAGAAAAAUGGCAUGGGAUUGUUGCUUUGAAAUGAUAAAGUUGAACACAGUUUGCUGUUCAUAAGUCCUGCCCUGGCCCCAGGAAACAACGCAGGGUACCAAAUAAUGCUCUUCUCUUUGCAAGUCCCCUAAAUCAACCUGCACUGAAAACAAGUGUAUAACCUCUUCCAGGCAACAGCUGUGCGCCGACUUCUGUGGGGAUAUGGCUCGCACCCAUUGGGAACUUUCCAGAAAAAGUGUUUUAAAAAUGUUACCCCAGCUAUUCCACUGAGCAACAUUUGAACACAACUCUGUGCACUGGCCAGAAAAAGCUGGGCCAUUGUCCUCCAGCCACCCCUCCACAACUUGUGUUUCUCGCUCCCCAGCAAACAUGGCUCUUAGCAAGGCACUGACUAUCCUCUGUCCAGCCUGAGUUGCAGAGGGAGAACUGCUUGGGCCUGAGGCUGGAUGGCACAGUCAGGACACAGGACGUACAAUAUGUGCAACUGGCUCAGAUUUAAGAGCAACAGGGAACUGACACAAUCCCCCAUCAGGCUACAGCUACAGAAAACCCAUCUUCAUGCUUGACCAAAAUAAUAUGAGAGAGGAGAAACUCAUGCGUACACAGAUCCUGACCAGAGGUAGCUGAUUCUCCCUGGGUUUCAACAGCUCCUCAGCUUUUGCCGAACCGAGGAGGAGUAACACAGUAGUGCUGGGCAAUUCUUGGCCACAAACCCAUGUGAACUAUCUGCAAAGCUGCCAUCCUCCCAGGCUUGCUCACACUCUUCCAUGUUUGCUCACACAGAACAUAUCAAGCCUUCUGGAUGUGUACGCCCUGAAACUGAUAUAAAGGAGUUUUUUUCAGGCAGGGAUUCAGAUGUGUGUGUAAUAGGGAGGAUUCAGCUGUUCGAUACCCAAAUGCACUAUUUACAUUUUCACCUUCCUCUUUCUCCUGUUACUUCUUGGGUUAACUUCCUUCCAGAAGAAUGCUCAGAGCCUUGCAUUAAAUACCACAUGGCUUUUUUCAAAUGCAGUAGAUGUUUCCAACUACAAAUAAACACGUAGGUGUAGAACUCGCCUUUCGAAGUAUUUUGAGCUGCAGAUUGGGUGGACGCAGGGGCCCUGUGGCAUUUGGCCCCGGCACAGGGCCCUCACCUGGCCACGGAUCGGAGGCCCUGGCAGCUGCUCCAGGUGCUCAUUUCUGUAUCCCUCCCGGGCAGCUCGCAGAGGAGAUGCAUGAGAUGUAAAGGGUCCACCAGUUGCACAUUUUGCUCCACAGGGUUGCUGAAAUAAUAGGCUGGCUGGGACAGCCCCAGCCUAACCGGUGCACUCCUUGAGUUGGUGAAGCACAACACGCUUUGCCUCCAACACUGCUCUCCUGCAGGAGUGAAUCUGCUCCUGGGGGAGAGCCACUCACCUUUCAUCAAGAAAGGCACUGGCUCAUACAUGUCCCGAGUUGCUCCCUAGUAUGAGGAAAAGCACUUGUUUAUGGAGGAUGGUGAAGAGUCACUGAACCAGCUGAUCAGCCUGCCUGAACUACUGUGUUAGCGCAACAUAUUUGUGCAAGCUAGAGCUUAAUA
This is a long non-coding RNA of Dromaius novaehollandiae (emu), 5917 nucleotides long. RefSeq lists it as uncharacterized. NCBI's taxonomy places the organism in Eukaryota, Metazoa, Chordata, Aves, Casuariiformes, Dromaiidae. The transcript has 3 exons. The record is from RefSeq and is a predicted model, not a curated record.